This 485-nucleotide ribosomal RNA is filed under the name uncultured bacterium. RNAcentral describes it as "partial 16S ribosomal RNA". It matches the Rfam family "Bacterial small subunit ribosomal RNA", at positions 29 to 523 of the family's 1533-position model. The record is from RNAcentral.
AGUGAACGCUGGCGGCGUGCUUAACACAUGCAAGUCGAACGAGAACGGAAUAUAGCUUGCUAUAUUUGUCAGCUAAGUGGCGCACGGGUGUGUAAUGUAUAGAUAACCUGCCCUUAAGAAAGGAAUAACAGUUGGAAACGACUGCUAAUGCCCUAUAUGCCUUUAAUACAUAAGUAUGCAAGGGAAACGCUUUAGUGCUUAAGGAUGGGUCUGUAUGGUAUCAGCUUGUUGGUGAGGUAAUGGCUCACCAAGGCUAUGACGCCUAACUGGUUUGAGAGGAUGAUCAGUCACACUGGAACUGAGACACGGUCCAGACUCCUACGGGAGGCAGCAGUGGGGAAUAUUGCACAAUGGACGAAAGUCUGAUGCAGCAACGCCGCGUGGAGGAUGACACAUUUCGGUGCGUAAACUCCUUUUAUAUAGGAAGAUAAUGACGGUACUAUAUGAAUAAGCACCGGCUAACUCCGUGCCAGCCGCCGCAGUAA